AAAUCGCUUGAACCCAGGAGUUGGAGGUUGCAGUGAGCCGAGAUUGCACCAUUGCAUUCCAGCCUGGGCAACAAGA
This 76-nucleotide small nuclear RNA is filed under the name Homo sapiens (human). RNAcentral's name for it is "partial ncRNA". The record is from RNAcentral. Lineage: Eukaryota; Metazoa; Chordata; Mammalia; Primates; Hominidae.